Molecule: ribosomal RNA, 379 nt
Filed under: uncultured Diversispora
Lineage: Eukaryota; Fungi; Glomeromycota; Glomeromycetes; Diversisporales; Diversisporaceae
Description: SSU rRNA
Rfam family: Eukaryotic small subunit ribosomal RNA
Source: RNAcentral
AGCAGCCGCGGUAAUUCCAGCUCCAAUAGCGUAUAUUAAAGUUGUUGCAGUUAAAAAGCUCGUAGUUGAACUUCGGGGUUUACUCAUUGGUCAGGCUUAACCGUCUGUACUGGUGAGAUGAAUCUCUACCUUCUGAGGAACUUUCAUGCCAUUUAUUUGGUGCGAUUGGAAAUCAGGACUGUUACUUUGAAAAAUUAGAGUGUUUAAAGCAGGCUAACGUCUGAAUACAUUAGCAUGGAAUAAUGAAAUAGGACGUUUGAUCCUAUUUUGUUGGUUUCUAGGAUUGACGUAAUGAUUAAUAGGGAUAGUUGGGGGCAUUAGUAUUCAAUUGUCAGAGGUGAAAUUCUUGGAUUUAUUGAAGACUAACUACUGCGAAAGC